RNAcentral lists this unclassified non-coding RNA (614 nucleotides) under Hevea brasiliensis (rubber tree). The record is from RNAcentral. Lineage: Eukaryota; Viridiplantae; Streptophyta; Magnoliopsida; Malpighiales; Euphorbiaceae.
AUAUAUAUAUAUAUAUAUAAAUUUCUUUUAUGCGGCAAUGAUUCUAUCUGAAAUAGAGUUUUAUUGAUAUCACACUAGCUUUGAGUUAUGGUGCGCUACUUCUUUUACAGUUCAUUAUUUACUUGGUUUAGAAUGGUUGCUAUUUGCUUUCCCGAGAUCAGCAUCUUUGAACCCACACAAAAUGACGUCUUUCAUUCAACGGAUUCUUCUCAAAUCUCAAUGAUGGUGGUUCCAAGGGGUAAGCUUGUCAUUGUACACAAACUUAAGGUGCUGGAUGUGAUCAGAAUAAGAGUGCCCUGCUUUUAGAAAUUGUGGUUGUGAAUAGAAGCUUAAACAUGGCUUGAAACGUUAGAUCAUCUGCCAAAGGCAACGAUGUCAAAUGUGCCAAAUGUUUAUGACUUUCAUUAGCAACCUUCUUUGCGCAUGGAUGCAUAGACAUAAAAAAAGAUGCAUUAGCUGCAUCCCCUAGAUGAUCCUUCUCGCUGUCUACAGGUUAGGGUUUCAAAAAUUUGGACAAUUUAUCAUUCAUGAUUCAAGAAUCUUUUAAUUUAUCAUAGAUUCAAAAGGCUGUAUACACUUGAAUUACAUUAAUACAUCCUCGAUUAAUUGCUUUG